CCCUGACAGGUUCAUCUGAGCCUGACACUAGCCACGACAGGAGAUUCCCAUG
This 52-nucleotide non-coding RNA is filed under the name unclassified sequences. The record is from Rfam.